GUGCUCACUCUGGCAGCAUGUAUACUAAAACUGGAAUGGCACAGAAGAUUAGCAUGGCCCCUGCGCAAGGAUAACAUGCAAAUUCAUGCAAUGUUGCAUUAUUUU
Camelus dromedarius (Arabian camel) is the source of this 105-nucleotide small nuclear RNA. Lineage: Eukaryota; Metazoa; Chordata; Mammalia; Artiodactyla; Camelidae. The record is from Ensembl.